This is a long non-coding RNA of Carassius auratus (goldfish), 1158 nucleotides long. RefSeq lists it as uncharacterized. The record is from RefSeq and is a predicted model, not a curated record. The transcript has 4 exons. NCBI's taxonomy places the organism in Eukaryota, Metazoa, Chordata, Actinopteri, Cypriniformes, Cyprinidae.
AAUUUGGACACAGCUAUUGGCGUUACCAAGGAGUAUAGAAGCGCUAUAUACCUAGGGUUACUGCGCAUGUACAGGUUCAUUCACUUCCGGAUGUAUGGUGGAUUCGAGAUUCGUUGGCAAUGCAUACUACAGUCCUCAGAAAAGGAGAAAAGAUAACAAUAGAACAGUGCAUCUCAUGCUGUGAUAAAUAUCACUGCCCAUUUUGUGAGACCUGGGUCUACAAACCAGUGGACUUCUACAGUGUCACGAAGCAUGUGCAGGAUCAUCUGAAAACAGCUGUUCGUGAAGAAGAUUUUAUUAUCAUAAGAUGCAGCUUAAAAUGCAGAGAUGUUUCUCAUUUUCAUUGCUGCUAUUGUUCUGCUACAAUCAUACGAAAAGCACAAUUUAACAUCCAUCUUACAAAAUGCAAGCAAAAGAAACAAAAGUUUCCAUCUCCACAAAGAACUCCAUCACCCAUGGUUCUGAUUGGUAAUACACCUCUGCCUGCAGCUUCUGCUCAGACAGCACCCCUUCUUUAACCUCAGCCUUCUCCAAGUGAACCACGCACGUCUGUGUCUCCCACGCCCAGUACUCCACUGUAUCAACCCAAAGUGUCGUGAACUGGAGUGCAUUUUCUGUAGGAUACAGACAGGAGUUCCGGGUGCCGUAUUCACUGACCCAGUGCCUAUGGUGCCAUGAAACAUUCAAAGACUGCCCACCUGGCUAUGUUGGGAAUGGCAGGAGGGGAGUCCUGCGUGGAUUUUAUUCCUACAAAGACUUUGAGGGCUACUACUCAGUUGAUUGUUUUAUUAAAGAUGGAGGUGAAUUUUAGAAUGUGUAGGUGCAGAUGCAGUUUCUUUUUUCUUUCUCAUGUGUCAUGUUUAUAAUUGUAAUCUCUCUUUCUCUCUUUCUCUCUCUCUCUCUCUCUCUCUCUCUCUCUCAAUCAUAUAUGUACACACACACAAUUAUAUUUUGUUUUGUACUUUGCAAUAAAAAAAAGAUUACUGUUAUCAGUUUGGUUUUUGGAGGCAAGAUGCAUAAAAUGGGAAGCAGACACUGAAAAUAUAAAGUAUGUUGUCAAUUUAACUGAAAAAUACUUUAUUGGCAUAAAUAUUUCACAUGCAGAAUUGUCAAAGUAACAGAAGCAUGUAUAAAAUUAUACUAAAUAAAUAAACAAGA